Molecule: ribosomal RNA, 497 nt
Filed under: uncultured bacterium
Lineage: Bacteria
Description: partial 16S ribosomal RNA
Rfam family: Bacterial small subunit ribosomal RNA
Source: RNAcentral
GAUGAACGCUGGCGGCGUGCCUAAUACAUGCAAGUCGAGCGAACAGACGAGGAGCUUGCUCCUCUGACGUUAGCGGCGGACGGGUGAGUAACACGUGGAUAACCUACCUAUAAGACUGGGAUAACUUCGGGAAACCGGAGCUAAUACCGGAUAAUAUAUUGAACCGCAUGGUUCAAUAGUGAAAGACGGUUUUGCUGUCACUUAUAGAUGGAUCCGCGCCGCAUUAGCUAGUUGGUAAGGUAACGGCUUACCAAGGCAACGAUGCGUAGCCGACCUGAGAGGGGGAUCGGCCACACUGGAACUGAGACACGGUCCAGAGUCCUACGGGAGGCAGCAGUAGGGAAUCUUCCGCAAUGGGCGAAAGCCUGACGGAGCAACGCCGCGUGAGUGAUGAAGGUCUUCGGAUCGUAAAACUCUGUUAUUAGGGAAGAACAAAUGUGUAAGUAACUAUGCACGUCUUGACGGUACCUAAUCAGAAAGCCACGGCUAACUACGUG